RNAcentral lists this ribosomal RNA (468 nucleotides) under uncultured bacterium. RNAcentral describes it as "partial 16S ribosomal RNA". It matches the Rfam family "Bacterial small subunit ribosomal RNA", at positions 28 to 507 of the family's 1533-position model. The record is from RNAcentral.
GACGAACGCUGGCGGCGUGCUUAACACAUGCAAGUCGAACGGAAAGGCCCUGCUUUUGUGGGGUGCUCGAGUGGCGAACGGGUGAGUAACACGUGAGUAACCUGCUCUUGACUUUGGGAUAACUUCAGGAAACUGGGGCUAAUACCGGAUAGGAGCUCCUGCUGCAUGGUGGGGGUUGGAAAGUUUCGGCGGUUGGGGAUGGACUCGCGGCUUAUCAGCUUGUUGGUUGGGUAGUGGCUUACCAAGGCUUUGACGGGUAGCCGGCCUGAGAGGGUGACCGGGCACAUUGGUACUGAGGUACGGCGCAGAGUCCUACGGGAGGCAGCAGGGGGGAGUAUUGCACAAUGAGCGGAAGCCUGAUGAAGCAACGCCGCGUGCGGGAUGACGGCCUUCGGGUUGUAAACCGCUUUCGCCUGUGACGAAGCGUGAGUGACGGUAAUGGGUGAAGAAGCACCGGCUAACUACGUG